GUUAAGCGACUAAGCGUACACGGUGGAUGCCCUGGCAGUCAGAGGCGAUGAAGGACGUGCUAAUCUGCGAUAAGCGUCGGUAAGGUGAUAUGAACCGUUAUAACCGGCGAUUUCCGAAUGGGGAAACCCAGUGUGUUUCGACACACUAUCAUUAACUGAAUCCAUAGGUUAAUGAGGCGAACCGGGGGAACUGAAACAUCUAAGUACCCCGAGGAAAAGAAAUCAACCGAGAUUCCCCCAGUAGCGGCGAGCGAACGGGGAGCAGCCCAGAGCCUGAAUCAGUGUGUGUGUUAGUGGAAGCGUCUGGAAAGGCGCGCGAUACAGGGUGACAGCCCCGUACACAAAAAUGCACAUGCUGUGAGCUCGAUGAGUAGGGCGGGACACGUGGUAUCCUGUCUGAAUAUGGGGGGACCAUCCUCCAAGGCUAAAUACUCCUGACUGACCGAUAGUGAACCAGUACCGUGAGGGAAAGGCGAAAAGAACCCCGGCGAGGGGAGUGAAAAAGAACCUGAAACCGUGUACGUACAAGCAGUGGGAGCACAGAGCAAUCUGUGUGACUGCGUACCUUUUGUAUAAUGGGUCAGCGACUUAUAUUCUGUAGCAAGGUUAACCGAAUAGGGGAGCCGAAGGGAAACCGAGUCUUAACUGGGCGUUAAGUUGCAGGGUAUAGACCCGAAACCCGGUGAUCUAGCCAUGGGCAGGUUGAAGGUUGGGUAACACUAACUGGAGGACCGAACCGACUAAUGUUGAAAAAUUAGCGGAUGACUUGUGGCUGGGGGUGAAAGGCCAAUCAAACCGGGAGAUAGCUGGUUCUCCCCGAAAGCUAUUUAGGUAGCGCCUCGUGAAUUCAUCUCCGGGGGUAGAGCACUGUUUCGGCAAGGGGGUCAUCCCGACUUACCAACCCGAUGCAAACUGCGAAUACCGGAGAAUGUUAUCACGGGAGACACACGGCGGGUGCUAACGUCCGUCGUGAAGAGGGAAACAACCCAGACCGCCAGCUAAGGUCCCAAAGUCAUGGUUAAGUGGGAAACGAUGUGGGAAGGCCCAGACAGCCAGGAUGUUGGCUUAGAAGCAGCCAUCAUUUAAAGAAAGCGUAAUAGCUCACUGGUCGAGUCGGCCUGCGCGGAAGAUGUAACGGGGCUAAACCAUGCACCGAAGCUGCGGCAGCGACGCUUAUGCGUUGUUGGGUAGGGGAGCGUUCUGUAAGCCUGCGAAGGUGUGCUGUGAGGCAUGCUGGAGGUAUCAGAAGUGCGAAUGCUGACAUAAGUAACGAUAAAGCGGGUGAAAAGCCCGCUCGCCGGAAGACCAAGGGUUCCUGUCCAACGUUAAUCGGGGCAGGGUGAGUCGACCCCUAAGGCGAGGCCGAAAGGCGUAGUCGAUGGGAAACAGGUUAAUAUUCCUGUACUUGGUGUUACUGCGAAGGGGGGACGGAGAAGGCUAUGUUGGCCGGGCGACGGUUGUCCCGGUUUAAGCGUGUAGGCUGGUUUUCCAGGCAAAUCCGGAAAACUAAGGCUGAGGCGUGAUGACGAGGCACUACGGUGCUGAAGCAACAAAUGCCCUGCUUCCAGGAAAAGCCUCUAAGCAUCAGGUAACAUCAAAUCGUACCCCAAACCGACACAGGUGGUCAGGUAGAGAAUACCAAGGCGCUUGAGAGAACUCGGGUGAAGGAACUAGGCAAAAUGGUGCCGUAACUUCGGGAGAAGGCACGCUGAUAUGUAGGUGAAGUCCCUCGCGGAUGGAGCUGAAAUCAGUCGAAGAUACCAGCUGGCUGCAACUGUUUAUUAAAAACACAGCACUGUGCAAACACGAAAGUGGACGUAUACGGUGUGACGCCUGCCCGGUGCCGGAAGGUUAAUUGAUGGGGUUAGCGGUAACGCGAAGCUCUUGAUCGAAGCCCCGGUAAACGGCGGCCGUAACUAUAACGGUCCUAAGGUAGCGAAAUUCCUUGUCGGGUAAGUUCCGACCUGCACGAAUGGCGUAAUGAUGGCCAGGCUGUCUCCACCCGAGACUCAGUGAAAUUGAACUCGCUGUGAAGAUGCAGUGUACCCGCGGCAAGACGGAAAGACCCCGUGAACCUUUACUAUAGCUUGACACUGAACAUUGAGCCUUGAUGUGUAGGAUAGGUGGGAGGCUUAGAAGUGUGGACGCCAGUCUGCAUGGAGCCGACCUUGAAAUACCACCCUUUAAUGUUUGAUGUUCUAACGUUGACCCGUAAUCCGGGUUGCGGACAGUGUCUGGUGGGUAGUUUGACUGGGGCGGUCUCCUCCUAAAGAGUAACGGAGGAGCACGAAGGUUGGCUAAUCCUGGUCGGACAUCAGGAGGUUAGUGCAAUGGCAUAAGCCAGCUUGACUGCGAGCGUGACGGCGCGAGCAGGUGCGAAAGCAGGUCAUAGUGAUCCGGUGGUUCUGAAUGGAAGGGCCAUCGCUCAACGGAUAAAAGGUACUCCGGGGAUAACAGGCUGAUACCGCCCAAGAGUUCAUAUCGACGGCGGUGUUUGGCACCUCGAUGUCGGCUCAUCACAUCCUGGGGCUGAAGUAGGUCCCAAGGGUAUGGCUGUUCGCCAUUUAAAGUGGUACGCGAGCUGGGUUUAGAACGUCGUGAGACAGUUCGGUCCCUAUCUGCCGUGGGCGCUGGAGAACUGAGGGGGGCUGCUCCUAGUACGAGAGGACCGGAGUGGACGCAUCACUGGUGUUCGGGUUGUCAUGCCAAUGGCACUGCCCGGUAGCUAAAUGCGGAAGAGAUAAGUGCUGAAAGCAUCUAAGCACGAAACUUGCCCCGAGAUGAGUUCUCCCUGACUCCUUGAGAGUCCUGAAGGAACGUUGAAGACGACGACGUUGAUAGGCCGGGUGUGUAAGCGCAGCGAUGCGUUGAGCUAACCGGUACUAAUGAACCGUGAGG
Molecule: ribosomal RNA, 2898 nt
Filed under: Escherichia coli
Lineage: Bacteria; Pseudomonadati; Pseudomonadota; Gammaproteobacteria; Enterobacterales; Enterobacteriaceae
Description: partial 23S ribosomal RNA
Rfam family: Bacterial large subunit ribosomal RNA
Source: RNAcentral